CCUACGGGGGGCAGCAGUGAGGAAUAUUGGUCAAUGGACGAGAGUCUGAACCAGCCAAGUAGCGUGAAGGAUGACUGCCCUAUGGGUUGUAAACUUCUUUUAUAUGGGAAUAAAACAGGGUAUGCAUACCCUCUUGUAUGUACCAUAUGAAUAAGGAUCGGCUAACUCCGUGCCAGCAGCCGCGGUAAUACGGAGGAUCCGAGCGUUAUCCGGAUUUAUUGGGUUUAAAGGGUGCGUAGGCGGUUCGAUAAGUUAGAGGUGAAAUCCCGCGGCUCAACUCCGGCACUGCCUCUGAUACUGUCGGGCUAGAGUUUAGUUGCGGUAGGCGGAAUGUAUGGUGUAGCGGUGAAAUGCAUAGAGAUCAUACAGAACACCGAUUGCGAAGGCAGCAUGCCGGCUCCACACUGACGCUGAGGCACGAAAGCGUGGGUAUCGAACAGGAUUAGAUACCCCUGUAGUC
This 460-nucleotide ribosomal RNA is filed under the name uncultured bacterium. Its description in RNAcentral is "partial 16S ribosomal RNA". It matches the Rfam family "Bacterial small subunit ribosomal RNA", at positions 338 to 795 of the family's 1533-position model. The record is from RNAcentral.